This is a long non-coding RNA of Physeter macrocephalus (sperm whale), 1129 nucleotides long. RefSeq lists it as uncharacterized. The record is from RefSeq and is a predicted model, not a curated record. NCBI's taxonomy places the organism in Eukaryota, Metazoa, Chordata, Mammalia, Artiodactyla, Physeteridae. The transcript has 3 exons.
CUGAGAUGAUUUCUUCAUUAACAUGAUGGAAGGAACUCAACAGCAAUACUAAUAAACAUCUAACCAAGGUACCAAGAACAAAUUCUCCCAGGCAAAGCUAUUUGCGGGAGCUGUGAAGCAUAAGAGCUUACUUAGAGAGGCACAACAGUGUGAAAAAACUGUCAUCGGCCCCUGACCCAGAUGACAAGAAUCAAGAAGCCCCAUCCUGCGUGUCUCUUGGAAGCACGUCCCUGAGGGGCCCCUCCAUCCACUGCUCCUCCACUGCCGUCUGUAUCUGCAUCCUCCCAGGCUUGGGUGCCUACUGUGGGGGCAGCGACUCUGAGUCCAGCUCAGACAGCGAAGGCACCAUCAACACCACCGGCAAGAUCUCGUCUCCUCCAUCUUCUGAACCUUCCUUGAGGCCCCCUAGCUCCUCUGUUCCCAUGGCCCUGAGCUCCUCCCCAAGAGGAGACCAGACAGUUCAUUCUGCCUACAGCUUCAACUGGGAACUACUCUCACUAGAGUGUAAGCUCCAGGAGGACAAGGGUUAGUGUCUGUUGUAUUCCCUGUGCAUGAUAAAUAAGACACACUCAAUGGUUAUUUAUUGAAUGAAUUAACACAAAGCACUAAUUAAUGCUACCCCAUCAUAUUCUUGUAUAUUCUUUUUCUAAAAUCUUAGUCAUAUCUGGUAAAUGCUCAGUUUUAUGUAUUUCCUCCAACCCACAGUUUUUCUUCAAGGAGGUAUCUGAGUUUAUAGACAGGUGGGCUUCUAUGACCUUAUAGCGGCAGAAAAAGGUAGCCUCAGACCCAAACCAACAGGUUCCUGCUCUCCUUUGUGUUCUCUGGAAUCUGCAACAUGUCCCUUAUGUGUCUGGUCACUUGGCUCCCUGCUGACAUCUACUGCUGAAAUCCCUGGCUGGUUUGUUCAGUUGGCUCAGUUUGGGAACUAUGAUCAUCUCCUUCUAAUUGAGCCCAAUCUCAGCCUUUACUGGAGCUGCAAGACUCUAUAAGUCUCAGUCACAUCUGCAGGGAAGCAAAGUUUGCCACGCCAAAAUGUGUCUCUUUGGAGUGAGGAUUAUUUUAGGCUGACUAUUUUCAAGAAACAGAUAACUUAGGAAGUCUUUCUUUUUUACCUCCUUAACUGCCUAAA